AGGAAGUCCCACUAUUCCCUAUGGAGGAUGAGAGGCUGAGAAUUUCCAGCUUACGCUGUGAUGUGGAUUUAUUACAACGGUCCUUUCUUACCUUCUCUCUGUUUAAAUGAAGGCAUUUAAACUAGGGUUUAUUGGGUGGGUCACUCCAAACGAUCAUAGGCGUCUGAUGGACAUCUGGCGUUGCGGUUUUGUUGCUGCUGGUCUCUCUUUCUGGUUUAUUCCUACUGUGCAGUAGCUACAGAUGACCGUGCACUUUAUAAACAUUUGGCAACGGGGGAAUGGCGUUUUCUGGGAGCAACCGGUAUUUUUCACCUGUGGUGUAGUUAAUGGUAGGAAGUAAUCCCCAGGAAGCACAAUUGGGGUUGCCUACGGUGGAGUUCAGUUGUACUGCACGGCCUAGGUGGGGAAUAGAAUUGAUACCUAGGUUUACCUUGAUUCUUCAGAAAGGAAUUCAAUACUGAAUAAAUAAUAGAAGUUGGUGCGGUUUGGACCCCUGAAGUAUUCAAUGUUACGUGACAGCUUUGCACUGUUGCUGUCCCGUACAGUCUGGAUCUGCAAGCUGCAUUAUUUAGUUCAACAGACAGGAACCCUUCGGAACUGCUGCCACGAAUAAUAGUGGACUGUGGGGG
Molecule: small RNA, 629 nt
Filed under: Histoplasma capsulatum
Lineage: Eukaryota; Fungi; Ascomycota; Eurotiomycetes; Onygenales; Ajellomycetaceae
Also listed under: 1 other name
Description: hypothetical RNA
Source: RNAcentral